RNAcentral lists this ribosomal RNA (254 nucleotides) under Pelophylax lessonae (pool frog). RNAcentral's name for it is "large subunit". Lineage: Eukaryota; Metazoa; Chordata; Amphibia; Anura; Ranidae. The record is from RNAcentral.
GCGGCUCGGAGGAGGCAACGGUGCAACUUUCUUCGGUCGUCCCGAAUCCGGGUUCAUCCGACACCAGCCGCCUCCACCAUGCCGCCCAAGUUCGACCCCAACGAGGUCAAAGUCGUGUACCUGAGGUGCACCGGAGGCGAGGUCGGCGCCACAUCCGCCUUGGCCCCGAAGAUCGGUCCUCUGGGUCUGUCUCCCAAGAAAGUUGGCGAUGACAUUGCCAAGGCUACCGGUGACUGGAAGGGUCUCAGAAUUAC